AGUACGCGAGGGAAGAAAAAAUAGGGGAAGGCAGUACGCUAGGGAAGAAAAAAUUUCAGUACAAACCCUCUCUCAAUUUGUAAUCCUUCCGAUAUCCAUAAAAGCUUUCUUAAUUCCUAACAACUUUUUCAGAUUAUCUCAAUCACAUAUACAUAUCUCCUCAACCUUAAAUAAAUUCCCGGCCCUCAAGCAUAGACAUAUCCACUUGAGAAUAUUCUCCUCGAGCAAGUAGUAGCUGAUAGCUGCAGGUAGCUGUUAAAGAGAAGCAGCAGAUGUUCAUACUAUCCAUGUGCAUGUCAAUAAUACGGUGAAGAUAGCAGUAAUCGCAGUUGUUCGUGUUUGCAUGUUCCUGAUUUUUUGUUGAGUUUGAAGAGAAGACUGUAGCGAAUACUACUAGCACACACAAAUAUGCAAUUCUCAAGAGCAUCAGCAUCUUCGAGCAAUAGGAGAGCAUCCAACUAUGUACCAUUCAAUGCAACACCUCCAUAAGCUUACCAAUCAAAUUGCAUAGUAGCAAGACCACAAUUAAGGCCAGCAAUUCCUACUCACAUAUAUGGUAAUAUACAUAUUCAAGAAGUCAUGAAUCUAAAAUACAGGUAUAAUACGUACCCAUGAGCAAUUACUGAUCA
RNA transcript from Fragaria vesca subsp. vesca, 629 nucleotides. RefSeq lists it as uncharacterized. NCBI's taxonomy places the organism in Eukaryota, Viridiplantae, Streptophyta, Magnoliopsida, Rosales, Rosaceae. The transcript has 2 exons. The record is from RefSeq and is a predicted model, not a curated record.